This 250-nucleotide ribosomal RNA is filed under the name uncultured bacterium. Its description in RNAcentral is "partial 16S ribosomal RNA". It matches the Rfam family "Bacterial small subunit ribosomal RNA", at positions 57 to 305 of the family's 1533-position model. The record is from RNAcentral.
GCAAGUCGAACGAGAAAGUACCUUCGGGUACGAGUACAGUGGCGGACGGGUGAGGAACGCGUGGAUAACCUGCCCCUUAGCGGGGAAUAACUAUUCGAAAGAGUAGCUAAUACCGCAUAAGACCACGACUCCUGCGGGAGAUGAGGUUAAAGGCUUCGGCCACUAAGGGAUGGGUCCGCGCCCGAUUAGUUUGUUGGUGGGGUAACGGCCUACCAAGACUACGAUCGGUAGCUGGUCUCAGAGGAUGAUC